UGAGCAAUCUGCCCUUCUCAUCGGAAUAAGCGUUGGAAACGACGUCUAAUGCCGAAUACGACCUCCUUUCGCAUGAUCGGAGGUGGAAAGCUCCGGCGGAGAAGGAUGAGCUCGCGGCCUAUCAGCUAGUUGGUGUGGGUAAUGGCCCACCAAGGCGACGACGGGUAGCCGGCCUGAGAGGGUGACCGGCCACACUGGAACUGAGACACGGCCCAGACUCCGUACGGGAGCAG
Molecule: ribosomal RNA, 233 nt
Filed under: uncultured bacterium
Lineage: Bacteria
Description: partial 16S ribosomal RNA
Rfam family: Bacterial small subunit ribosomal RNA
Source: RNAcentral